ACUUAAAUUGAAGAGUUUGAUCAUGGCUCAGAUUGAACGCUGGCGGCAGGCCUAACACAUGCAAGUCGAGCGGUAGCACAGAGAGCUUGCUCUCGGGUGACGAGCGGCGGACGGGUGAGUAAUGUCUGGGAAACUGCCUGAUGGAGGGGGAUAACUACUGGAAACGGUAGCUAAUACCGCAUAACGUCGCAAGACCAAAGUGGGGGACCUUCGGGCCUCAUGCCAUCAGAUGUGCCCAGAUGGGAUUAGCUAGUAGGUGGGGUAACGGCUCACCUAGGCGACGAUCCCUAGCUGGUCUGAGAGGAUGACCAGCCACACUGGAACUGAGACACGGUCCAGACUCCUACGGGAGGCAGCAGUGGGGAAUAUUGCACAAUGGGCGCAAGCCUGAUGCAGCCAUGCCGCGUGUGUGAAGAAGGCCUUCGGGUUGUAAAGCACUUUCAGCGGGGAGGAAGGCGUUAAGGUUAAUAACCUCAUCGAUUGACGUUACCCGCAGAAGAAGCACCGGCUAACUCCGUGCCAGCAGCCGCGGUAAUACGGAGGGUGCAAGCGUUAAUCGGAAUUACUGGGCGUAAAGCGCACGCAGGCGGUCUGUCAAGUCGGAUGUGAAAUCCCCGGGCUCAACCUGGGAACUGCAUUCGAAACUGGCAGGCUAGAGUCUUGUAGAGGGGGGUAGAAUUCCAGGUGUAGCGGUGAAAUGCGUAGAGAUCUGGAGGAAUACCGGUGGCGAAGGCGGCCCCCUGGACAAAGACUGACGCUCAGGUGCGAAAGCGUGGGGAGCAAACAGGAUUAGAUACCCUGGUAGUCCACGCCGUAAACGAUGUCGAUUUGGAGGUUGUGCCCUUGAGGCGUGGCUUCCGGAGCUAACGCGUUAAAUCGACCGCCUGGGGAGUACGGCCGCAAGGUUAAAACUCAAAUGAAUUGACGGGGGCCCGCACAAGCGGUGGAGCAUGUGGUUUAAUUCGAUGCAACGCGAAGAACCUUACCUGGUCUUGACAUCCACAGAACUUUCCAGAGAUGGAUUGGUGCCUUCGGGAACUGUGAGACAGGUGCUGCAUGGCUGUCGUCAGCUCGUGUUGUGAAAUGUUGGGUUAAGUCCCGCAACGAGCGCAACCCUUAUCCUUUGUUGCCAGCGGUUCGGCCGGGAACUCAAAGGAGACUGCCAGUGAUAAACUGGAGGAAGGUGGGGAUGACGUCAAGUCAUCAUGGCCCUUACGACCAGGGCUACACACGUGCUACAAUGGCAUAUACAAAGAGAAGCGACCUCGCGAGAGCAAGCGGACCUCAUAAAGUAUGUCGUAGUCCGGAUUGGAGUCUGCAACUCGACUCCAUGAAGUCGGAAUCGCUAGUAAUCGUAGAUCAGAAUGCUACGGUGAAUACGUUCCCGGGCCUUGUACACACCGCCCGUCACACCAUGGGAGUGGGUUGCAAAAGAAGUAGGUAGCUUAACCUUCGGGAGGGCGCUUACCACUUUGUGAUUCAUGACUGGGGUGAAGUCGUAACAAGGUAACCGUAGGGGAACCUGCGGUUGGAUCACCUCCUUACCUUAAAGAA
Molecule: ribosomal RNA, 1554 nt
Filed under: Klebsiella pneumoniae
Lineage: Bacteria; Pseudomonadati; Pseudomonadota; Gammaproteobacteria; Enterobacterales; Enterobacteriaceae
Description: bacterial SSU rRNA
Rfam family: Bacterial small subunit ribosomal RNA
Source: RNAcentral